GACGAACGCUGGCGGCGUGCUUAACACAUGCAAGUCGAACGGAAAGGCCCUGCUUUUGUGGGGUGCUCGAGUGGCGAACGGGUGAGUAACACGUGAGUAACCUGCCCUUGACUUUGGGAUAACUUCAGGAAACUGGGGCUAAUACCGGAUAGGAGCUCCUGCUGCAUGGUGGGGGUUGGAAAGUUUCGGCGGUUGGGGAUGGACUCGCGGCUUAUCAGCUUGUUGGUGGGGUAGUGGCUUACCAAGGCUUUGACGGGUAGCCGGCCUGAGAGGGUGACCGGACACAUUGGGACUGAGAUACGGCCCAGACUCCUACGGGAGGCAGCAGUGGGGAAUAUUGCACAAUGGGCGGAAGCAUGAUGCAGAAACGCAGAGUGAGGGAUGACGGACUUCGGGUUGUAAACCGCUUUCGCCUGUGACGAAGCGUGAGUGACGGUAAUGGGUAAAGAAGCACCGGCUAACUACGUG
Molecule: ribosomal RNA, 468 nt
Filed under: uncultured bacterium
Lineage: Bacteria
Description: partial 16S ribosomal RNA
Rfam family: Bacterial small subunit ribosomal RNA
Source: RNAcentral